AGUGAACGCUGGCGGCGUGCCUAAUACAUGCAAGUCGAACGAAGUGGCGAACGGGUGAGUAAUAUAUAGUUAAUCUGCCCUACACAGAGGCACAACAGGUGGAAACGGCUGAUAAUACCUCAUAGUGUAGGAUGAGACUAUAUCGUAUCAGCUAGUUGGUAAGGUAAUGGAUUACCAAGGCGAUGACGCGUAACUGGUCUGAGAGGAUGAUCAGCAAAAUUGGAACUGAGACACGGGUCGAACUCCUACGGGAGUCAGCAGUAAGGUAUAUUGCCCAAGGGGCGAAACCCUGGCGCAGCAACGCCGCGUAGAGGACGACACUUUUCGGAGCGUAAACUCCUUUUAUCAUGAACGCGGUACCUGAUGAAUAAGCACCGGCUAACUCCGUGCCAGCCGCCGCGGUAAUAC
RNAcentral lists this ribosomal RNA (408 nucleotides) under uncultured bacterium. Its description in RNAcentral is "partial 16S ribosomal RNA". It matches the Rfam family "Bacterial small subunit ribosomal RNA", at positions 29 to 526 of the family's 1533-position model. The record is from RNAcentral.